AAAAAAAAAAAAAACUUUUUUAAGCUCCAAACCUUCUUUUAAUCUAGCCCUUUCUUUUUAAUACCCCAAAGCCUCACUGCAGUCCUUAAACCUGACUUGGAAGCCUCAAUGGAGGCUUUUAAAACCCCUUUUUUUUUUUUUCAGGUCUAAGCCCAUUUGUGACGGCUUGAGGACAAGCCCAGAGUAAAACCUCCACCUCAAAGGGGGUUCUUUCCAACCUUAAAGAUUUUAUCAAUUCAGGCUAAAAAAACCUUUUAAGGGACCACAAACUGGCCGCCCUCCCUGAGAGCCCCCUCAGCCUCCCUCCUGUGCCAUGAGGGGGGAGCCGAGGCUGUGCCCCCCUUUUUGGGGUCUCCUCAAAAAGAAAAACGAAAUUCUGGAGGACUGGGGGGGAAAGCAGUGUUUUGUGGUUGUAGAACACGCGGUAAACACAAGAUUUCAAGGAUUUGGGUGGACAAAUGAGGGGUCACACCCCAGCCCCAUUUUGAGAGGAGAAAGUUUUAUUUUGGUAAAUUUUGUUUUGAGAGGAAAAAGUUUUGAUAGGACAAAGUUUACUUUGGUCAAGGUUUAUUUUGGGAAAAUCCACCCUUUUCAGCCCAAAAGCUCUGUUGGAGGUCAGAAAACCUCCUUGGAGGUCCAGAGUUUAAAAGGUUUAGGGGCGUGCUUUCAUGGGGGAUUUCUCCAGAUUAGGCUGAGAGAUCUUUCCAACCUUCAAGAUUUUAUCAUUUCAGGCUAAAAAAAAAAACUUUUUUAAGGGACCACAAAAUGGCCGCCCUCCCUGAGGGCUCCCUCAGCCUCCCUCCUGUGCCAGGAGGGGGGAGCCAAGGCUGUGCCCCCCUUUUUGGCAUCUCCAUGGCCGGGGGGCUCUUCGUCACCCCGGGGGCUCCUCCUCACCCUGGGGGGCUCCCGACCAGACAGGAUCUGCAAAGUGGGCACUGGCCAAGUGCUCCUGGCUGCAGCUCUGGGGUUUGGCACGCCCCCAGGAAAGCCCCGAGGCUCUAAAGCAAAGCUCUGAGCCCCGCAGGGAAUCCCAAAGCCCCCAGUGGGAGCUCUGAGCCUUUUGUGUGGUGCAGCUGCCAUUUUGUGUGGUGCGGCUGCCAUUUUGUGUGGUGCGGCCACCAUUUUGUGAGGCGAGGCUGCCAUUUUGCAUCGCAAUUCCAACUGCCCCCCCCUUAAAUACUGGCCCCUCCCCUAAUUACCACCCCCCUAAUUACCCUUUCCCCACCCCAAUUACUGUCCCAGGCAGUUGUGUAAUGCCACAGAGCGGGGGAUCGAGGGGUGCGGGGGUUUUCCUGCAUCGAGACUGCUUGAGGUAGCUGAGGGAGCCGCCAGGUCCCAGCAGCCACAGAAUCUCACAGAAUGACAGAAUCUCACAGAAUGACAGAAUUUGAGGGAUCGGGAGGGGCCUCAAAAGACCAUCUAGUCCAAUCCGUGUCCCUGGUGGAUGAGGGAAAGGCUGCUGAUGUCGUCUGCUCAGCCUUCAGCGAGGCCUUUGGUGCGGUCUCCCACAAUAUUCUCCUGGAGAAGCUGCAGCCCAGGGCUUGGACAAGUACACUCCUUACAGAAAAAGAAUGUUUUUCUUUAAAAAUAUGGUUAAAAACUGGCUGGAGGGCCCGGCCCAGAGAGUGGUGGUGGUGAAGGGAGAGAAAUCGAGCUGGUCGUGAGUGGUGUUUGCCCAGUGGGGCCCACCCUCGUUAA
Molecule: long non-coding RNA, 1698 nt
Organism: Anser cygnoides (Swan goose)
Lineage: Eukaryota; Metazoa; Chordata; Aves; Anseriformes; Anatidae
Source: Ensembl